GGGCGAAUAGCUCAGUUGGGAGAGCGCCUGCCUUACAAGCAGGAUGUCGGGGGUUCAAGUCCCUCUUCGCCCA
RNAcentral lists this transfer RNA (73 nucleotides) under Thiospirochaeta perfilievii. RNAcentral's name for it is "Spirochaeta sp. P tRNA". It matches the Rfam family "tRNA". From Rfam's summary of the family: Transfer RNA (tRNA) molecules are approximately 80 nucleotides in length. Their secondary structure includes four short double-helical elements and three loops (D, anti-codon, and T loops). Lineage: Bacteria; Pseudomonadati; Spirochaetota; Spirochaetia; Spirochaetales; Spirochaetaceae. The record is from Rfam by way of RNAcentral. RNAcentral also lists the same sequence under 1 other name.